GGGCCCGCACAAGCGGUGGAGCAUGUGGUUUAAUUCGAAGCAACGCGAAGAACCUUACCAGUCCUUGACAUGGGUAGUUUGGAUUUUGGAGACAAUCUCCUUCAGUUCGGCUGGCUACCACACAGGUGCUGCACGGCUGUCGUCAGCUCGUGUCGUGAGAUGUUGGGUUAAGUCCCGCAACGAGCGCAACCCUCAUCUUUAGUUGCCAUCAGUUCGGCUGGGCACUCUAGAGAAACUGCCUGCGAUGAGCAGGAGGAAGGUGGGGACGACGUCAAGUCAUCAUGGCCCUUACGGCCUGGGCUACACACGUGCUACAAUGGCUAGGACAGACGGCCGCAAACCCGCGAGGGGGAGCCAAUCCGACAAACCUAGUCGUAGUCCGGAUCGGAGUCUGCAACUCGACUCCGUGAAGUCGGAAUU
This 420-nucleotide ribosomal RNA is filed under the name uncultured bacterium. RNAcentral describes it as "bacterial SSU rRNA". It matches the Rfam family "Bacterial small subunit ribosomal RNA", at positions 917 to 1333 of the family's 1533-position model. The record is from RNAcentral.